CCAACAGGGAUUGCCUUAGUAACGGCGAGUGAAGCGGCAACAGCUCAAAUUUGAAAGCUGGCUCCUUUGGAGUCCGCGUUGUAAUUUGUAGAGGAUGAUUCGGCAAGGGCUCCCGCCUAAGUCUCCUGGAACGGAGCGUCAUAGAGGGUGAGAAUCCCGUAUGCGGUGGGCUGCCUAAGCCAUGUGAAUCUCCUUCGACGAGUCGAGUUGUUUGGGAAUGCAGCUCUAAAUGGGAGGUAAAUUUCUUCUAAAGCUAAAUACCGGCCAGAGACCGAUAGCGCACAAGUAGAGUGAUCGAAAGAUGAAAAGCACUUUGGAAAGAGAGUUAAAAAGUACGUGAAAUUGUUGAAAGGGAAGCGCUUGCAGCCAGACUUGUCCGCAGUUGCUCAGCCGGUCUCCUGACCGGUGUACUCUUCUGCGGCCAGGCCAGCAUCAGUUCGGGCGGUCGGAUAAAGACCUCGGGAAUGUAGCUCCUCUCGGGGAGUGUUAUAGCCCGGGGUGGAAUGCGGCCAGCCUGGACUGAGGAUCUCGCUUCGGCUAGGAUGCUGGCGUAAUGGCUGUAAGCGGCCCGUCUUGAAACACGGACC
Molecule: ribosomal RNA, 587 nt
Filed under: Botryosphaeria dothidea
Lineage: Eukaryota; Fungi; Ascomycota; Dothideomycetes; Botryosphaeriales; Botryosphaeriaceae
Description: LSU rRNA
Rfam family: Eukaryotic large subunit ribosomal RNA
Source: RNAcentral